Molecule: long non-coding RNA, 3572 nt
Filed under: Sus scrofa (pig)
Lineage: Eukaryota; Metazoa; Chordata; Mammalia; Artiodactyla; Suidae
Description: lncRNA (ENSSSCG00000042275.1)
Source: RNAcentral
GCCAAUGAUAAGCAGAAAGCAUCAGAGACCCUAAAAAGCUGUCUGAACCAGGGGGAGCAGACGGAAAUCCAAGGGAAAGGUAGAAUAUUUUGCCCCAGGCUUGGAUUCUUGUAAGUGGCACUUUACAAAAAUUUUCUCCACUUGUCUGAAGGGGAGCAAAUGGGGGCCACCCAUCAGGCCUGCUCAAUCUCCUGUGUAACUUCUUAAUAGACUAUUUAUAGCCUCAGGUUGUUGCAGCAACAUUGCGCAAUUGCUGUGUGGGUGGAGAGGAUGGUGGAUCUGAGCCCAGCUGGGUGAGUGACCGUCUCCUGGCUGCUUCCUGUUGGCUUAGGAAAGAACAGAAGAAGGUGGAUUUGUUUGUCGGUUGAGCAACCAGCCACUGCCUGGCCUGUGCCUGAUUUUGUCCCUUUAAACAUUAACUGCCUCUUAAAACAUUGGUGUUCUAUGCCCAAGGCCAAUGGGGCGCCCAAGAGAAAGGAGAGGAGGAAAGAGUAGAAGAGAGGGAGGGAGGGUUUGUUACAUCAACAAUUUAUUCAUUCCACUAAUACUGCAGAGUGUCCAUGGUGACCCACCCAUCGUCCCAAGACCCAGCUCUGGAGAACUGAAGAGAACAUGAUUCUCAUCCUAGAGACACACAGUCUAGCAGAGGAGACAGACAAGUAAACACAAGAUGACAAGGAAAGGCUAAGCCCUAGACUGUCCCUGUGCCUUCUCAGCAUCUCCCUUUACUAAAGAAGUUUCCUUGGGAGAUGGAGGAUGAGAUCAGAGAAUUAAAAGUUUCCAGGUUCCUUGUCCCCAGGACAGUGGUUCUCAACCUGUAGUGAGCAAAAAGUGACCUGGAAGAGUUAUUUAAAAUGCAACUCCCAGCUCUGCAGGACUGUGUCAGUGGGUCUGCAGCAAGCCCAGGGCUCUGCAUUGAUCCAGCCAUCCAAGGGAAUUCAGAUGGAGGUGGCCUGUGACCACAAGAGGGCCACCAGAGGUUGAUGGAAAAAAAUUGGACGAAAGGAAGAGGGAGCUUAAAGAUGAUUAAGGGCAGAAAACAGAAAAAGAGAAAACCCAGUUUUCAAGAGAGAAAAGAAAGUUUUCUCUAAGAAUUGAGCUAAUAUUACCAGGGGCCCUGGGACGACUCAGCUAACUAGUGUCCAUGACUUAGCCAUGACUUUCUUAUAUUUAUCUUUUAAACAAGACGACUUUUCUUAAACAGUACAAAGAAAUGGACAGAGAGAUAGCUCUGUUAGAGCCUUGGGUGGGCAUCAAUAGCACCUGUGGAACCCAGCCUUUGCUAAUCCACAAGCGGAGGCUGAAUAAAGCCAUGGGCUAUGGGAAGGGGGCCGUCCUGGAGAAGGCACACUCACUUGACACUGUCUUCAGUAAUGCCUGGUUCUGGGCAGCUCUGUUUAAUUGCACCUCUCCCUCCACAACCCCCCAGGCUAGUCUACCCCAGGGCAGUGUCUAGCUGGGGUAGACACCUGAAAAGGCUGAAGGGCACCAAGCUACAAAGAGCCUGAGCGGUGAUGGCCAUGAGCAAUUUCCAGGUGGGCUACAGAGCUUCCUCUUCCCCCUGACUGCACCAAGGCUGCUCUCUUUCUGAAACUGAUUUAGGCCCAAAGCUGAGCGGCUGGGGUGUGACUGGAGUGACCCUAGCACCAUCUGGUUCUCCCAUGGUGCCAGGUAGGAUGCUUCUGUUUAUCCCUAAAGCCCACUUUCCCACCUCUCUCUGAAAGGAUGCCUCCUCCCUCGUUCUUUAGCUCCUGCCCUAGUAUGACCUUCCCUGUGACUCUCCUUUAACUAUAUCCUUUCCCACUUGGGGUCCUCAUCCUAUGGAUUCUGUCCCGUGAGCCCCACCUAUCCAACUACAAGUUCAGGGGAGCUUGUCUUCUGGGAGUCAGUAAAGCACCUCAGUUAGGAACUAGGGCUGACCUGGGUCAGGAACACAACGCAGUCACCUGCCAGCUCUGGAAUCUCGGGCGAGUUACUUCCCUGUUCUAAAUUUCAGUUUCCUUACCUAUAAAAUGGGCAAACAAUUGUACUUAUGACUAAGGUUAAAUGAGCUAAUACUUAGCCCAGUGCCAUUGUAGCCCUCCAUAAAUGUUUGCUCUUCUCCCCAUGCAUAUGUACAUCCUUACUUUUACCCUAAUCGCCAUGGAUUUAGGACAGAGCUGAUGCUCAUUAAUGUUUAUUGAAUUAGCAGUUAAGACGUGUAAACAUCACUGGAUCUGUUCAUUAGUACAUUUUAAGAAGAAGUGGGUAACUUGGCAUUUUCCCUUAUUUCAUCAAUAUUUGAUGGUGCUUUCUCUAUUUGAGGAUUUGUUUAGGGUGGAAUGAAUCCGAAUAAGCUCAGGCAGGCUUUUCGUAAUCAUUCUUCUUUUGUGUCCAUUGAUUCAGUGUGUUUUCCUCACUUCUGUUCCCAUCCUCACAUUUGCGGUCCUCCUUCUGGAGGAAUAAAUCAGACCACAGUAGCCAUUUAAAAGUACUUUCAACUGCUUCUAAGUUCUCUAGAGGAAAAUAGCUACAGAAUGCUGUUAAGGCUGUUAGAAAUUUCGAAUUACGCUUCUCCCGCUGUCCCUUUCCACCAUGUGAGAUGCAAUGGGGAGAACUAAGUAAACACCAAAGUCCCUUUUAAUUGCAAUGGUCCGUGAUCUCUUUUGUGCACAGCUGGACUUUUAAGCUCAAAAAGGUAAAGCAACUUUUGUAAACAAACAUAAUUUAAGGACUAGUCCUGACUCCCUGUUGGGGAUCAUCUCAGAAAGAAAAUAGGUACGACCUCCACUGCUUGCCAUUUGCUGGAUAUCUUCACUCCUUGCCUGGAAUUACCAGAGGCUGUUUGCACGGCUGCGCUCAAUGUCCAGACGUUUGGUUUAGAUCCCUUUAUGUUCAAGGAUUCUGAGGAAUGAUAAUGAAGGCGAAUUGAGCUUAGACUGAACAAGCUCCUCUUAGAGAUCUUAAUCAAAUAAUCAAAGGUUAAACAUGAAGAGGAAACAUAAAAGUGAGGGAAAAACUGGUAACAAUUUACGAGCUUUUCUUUCCCUCCAGGAGAAGCUGAGAAUGAGCCUCAUCUAUGCCAGGGAGGCUGAAGUGGGGGAGUGCACCCAGCCUCCCCCAGGUGGGAGGUCCCUGAGUCAAGGAGCCCCUCACAGUGGGAGGAGGCCCCCCUCAUCCCAGAAGGCAGGCCUGGGGACAGUCCUGUGCCCUGUUUCUCCAUCCCUGUCUUAUCCAGCAUGGCUCACUGUGAAUGCAGUCCUGGGCUGCUAUUUCUCACCCUCUUUUAGUCCAUUCUCUUUUUGAAAAACAAUUUUUAAAAAUCUCAUAUGUAUCUCUUUUCCCAGAGAUUGUGAUAAGCAACCACUGGGCCCAGGCUUUUUCCAUCGACCCACAUGGCAUGGCCAAUGCCGGCUCUGGCUCCUCCCUCUUGCCACUCCCCAUUGAUUGCUGAUGAUCGGUUAUUGGUACAGUUUUGGAGGAAAUGAAUCUGACUAGGAACCAUGAGGUUGCGGGUUCAAUCCCUGGACUUGCUCAGUGGGUUAAGGAUCCGGCAUUGCUGUAAGCUGUGCUGUGGGUCGCAGAUGUGGCUC